UCUCUCUGAAUCUGCGAACGGCUCCGCAUACCAGUUGUAAACCAUAGCGAGCAAACCGUGGCGGCAUCGCAAGGCGUCGUCGCGGUUAAUAAGGAUAACCCUGGUAAUUCUGAGGCUAAUACAAGAACGUACAACCCACNCCGACCCGUAAGGGAAGGGGGGGGAAUGUGUGACCAGGCACGCAAAUUCGAAACUGGGAGUGGCCACACGUUCAGACCGUCAUACCAAACAGUYGCUCGCUUUGAAAGUCCUCGUGACGAGUAAACGGCGGGCUUCUGGGCGGCUCUCGCUGUGUGCUUCUGACCUAUCAACUAGAUGGCAGCGUAACGGACAUGCUAUGGUGACAACGGGUACAGAGGAUAAGGGUUCGAUCCUGGAGAGUGGGCCUGAGAGAUU
Molecule: ribosomal RNA, 396 nt
Filed under: Badhamia albescens
Lineage: Eukaryota; Evosea; Eumycetozoa; Physariida; Physaraceae
Description: SSU rRNA
Rfam family: Eukaryotic small subunit ribosomal RNA
Source: RNAcentral